Molecule: ribosomal RNA, 307 nt
Filed under: uncultured bacterium
Lineage: Bacteria
Description: partial 16S ribosomal RNA
Rfam family: Bacterial small subunit ribosomal RNA
Source: RNAcentral
AGACAGCAGUAGCCGCGGUAAUACGAAGGGUGCAAGCGUUACUCGGAAUUACUGGGCGUAAAGCGUGCGUAGGUGGUGGUUUAAGUCCGUUGUGAAAGCCCUGGGCUCAACCUGGGAAUUGCAGUGGAUACUGGGUCACUAGAGUGUGGUAGAGGAUAGUGGAAUUUCCGGUGUAGCAGUGAAAUGCGUAGAGAUCGGAAGGAACAUCUGUGGCGAAGGCGACUAUCUGGGCCAACACUGACACUGAGGCACGAAAGCGUGGGGAGCAAACAGGAUUAGAUACCCGGGUAGUCCCUGUCUCUUAUAC